RNAcentral lists this ribosomal RNA (466 nucleotides) under uncultured bacterium. RNAcentral's name for it is "partial 16S ribosomal RNA". It matches the Rfam family "Bacterial small subunit ribosomal RNA", at positions 28 to 507 of the family's 1533-position model. The record is from RNAcentral.
GAUGAACGCUGGCGGCGUGCUUAACACAUGCAAGUCGAACGAUGAAGCCCAGCUUGCUGGGUGGAUUAGUGGCGAACGGGUGAGUAACACGUGAGUAACCUGCCCUUGACUCUGGGAUAAGCCUGGGAAACUGGGUCUAACACUGGAUAUGACUUCUCAUCGCAUGGUGGGGGGUGGAAAGAUUUAUUGGUCUUGGAUGGACUCGCGGCCUAUCAGCUUGUUGGUGAGGUAAUGGCUCACCAAGGCGACGACGGGUAGCCGGCCUGAGAGGGUGACCGGCCACACUGGGACUGAGACACGGCCCAGACUCCUACGGGAGGCAGCAGUGGGGAAUAUUGCACAAUGGGCGCAAGCCUGAUGCAGCGACGCCGCGUGAGGGAUGACGGCCUUCGGGUUGUAAACCUCUUUCAGUAGGGAAGAAGCGAGAGUGACGGUACCUGCAGAAGAAGCGCCGGCUAACUACGUG